This 994-nucleotide long non-coding RNA is filed under the name Salmo salar (Atlantic salmon). RNAcentral's name for it is "lncRNA (ENSSSAG00000103034.1)". The record is from RNAcentral. Lineage: Eukaryota; Metazoa; Chordata; Actinopteri; Salmoniformes; Salmonidae.
UGUCCAUCUGGUAUCGUAGGUCUAUAGUGUUUGUCUCCCUGUCCAUCUGGUAUCGUAGGUCUAUAGUGUUUGGCUCCCUGUCCAUCUGGUAUCGUAGGUCUAUAGUGUUUGGCUCCCUGUCCAGCUGGUAUCGUAGGUCUAUAGUGUUUGGCUCCCUGUCCAUCUGGUAUCGUAGGUCUAUAGUUUUUGGCUCCCUGUCCAUCUGGUAUCGUAGGUCUAUAGUUUUUGGCUCCCUGUCCAGCUGGUAUCGUAGGUCUAUAGUUUUUGGCUCCCUGUCCAUCUGGUAUCGUAGGUCUAUAGUUUUUGGCUCCCUGUCCAGCUGGUAUCGUAGGUCUAUAGUUUUUGGCUCCCUGUCCAGCUGGUAUCGUAGGUCUAUAGUGUUUGUCUCCCUGUCCAUCUGGUAUCGUAGGUCUAUAGAGUUUGUCUCCCUGUCCAUCUGGUAUCAUAGGUCUAUAGUGUUUGUCUCCCUGUCCAUCUGGUAUCAUAGGUCUAUAGUUUUUGUCUCCCUGUCCAUCUGGUAUCGUAGGUCUAUAGAGUUUGUCUCCCUGUCCAUCUGGUAUCGUAGGUCUGUAGUGUUUGUCUCCCUGUCCAUCUGGUAUCGUAGGUCUAUAGUGUUUGGCUCCCUGUCCAUCUGGUAUCGUAGGUCUAUAGUGUUUGGCUCCCUGCCCAUCUGGUAUCAUAGGUCUAUAGUUUUUGGCCCUCUGUCCAGCUGGUAUCGUAGGUCUAUAGUGUUUGUCUCCCUGUCCAGCUGGUAUUGUAGGUCUAUAGAGUUUGGCUCCCUGUCCAUCUGGUAUCGUAGGUCUAUAGUGUUUGUCUCCCUGUCCAGCUGGUAUUGUAGGUCUAUAGAGUUUGGCUCCCUGUCCAUCUGGUAUCGUAGGUCUAUAGUGUUUGGCUCCCUGUCCAUCUGGUAUCGUAGGUCUAUAGUGUUUGGCUCCCUGUCCAUCUGGUAUCGUAGGUCUGUAGUGUUUGGCUCCCUGUCCAUCUGGUAUCGUAG